UUUGUUUUGUUUUUCUUCUCUCUGUUUUUUCCACUUUUAGUUUUCUCACAUUUUCUUCCAUUCUGAUUUCUUUAAUUUUCUUACAUUUUUAUUUCAAAUUUCAAACCAGAACAGUUUCUGACAAAGCCACCACGCCGGAACUCUCCUGCUACCGCCGUGGUAAUCUUAUUAUCCAUCGGUGAGUUUCCGGUUGCUUUAUUUAGUUCAAUUUCAUGCUUCAUUCUGGGAUGAUAAAACUAUGCUAAGCAAUAGUCUCACAUCUUCUUAUCAUCAAAAGUUAAAAUGAACACAUUUUAGAAAUGAAAAAAAUAUAUAUGAUUUCACAGCGGUCUUUUCUAUUUUUCCUCGACAAUCUAAAACUAUGCUCAACAUUAUUGAAGUUUUUUAUUUUGACAAGGAUUGUUGAAGAUUUGUUGUUAGGGUGACAGUUGUUGUGUUCAAUUUCUAAUUUUGGUGUGUUUGCUGUCGUUGGUUUGUUGUGUUAUUUUUUGGACCGCUGCUGAUGAUCACCCUCUCCUGUGCUUGUCGUGAACAUUAAAACCUUUCGGACUGCUGAUCAAUUAUUUAUUCUCGGCUAGAUCCGAGAAAUUGUGAAAUCAUGAUUUUGCUUUAAAUAUUGGAAAUGAUUCGGGAUCUCUUGACUUCAAGAGUAACUCUGAAAUGAGUUUCUCCGUUCAAUCGUUAUGUACUUGGUUCUGUACUUUUUAUGCCCUUUUAAUGUUUUUGUGAAAAUUUAAUCUUAAUACUCUGAUUUACCUUAUGCACAGUCGACUUCCAUUUUUUUCAAACAUGAAAAUGUGUAUUGUUGUCUCUCUUAUUAUGUCUUGUGCUAUAAUUUGUAGCAGAUAUUGGACUACAAUGUGCCUGGAGUUAGGAUUUGAGUUUUAUUCUUUUUAAAGUUUGUAACAAGUAACUUAUAACGUGUUUAGAUUGACGGUGAGAUUGACCUAACCACAGGGACACCAUGAUUUUGUAAAAGUUUUGAAGUGUAGUUUUUGUUAAAAUCACUGUCAAUUUAAACAUACACUUCUAAGUUUAUUGUAACCAUCGUUGUUAUGAAAAGGAGAGGUGGUUCACUAUUCAGGAUGCAUUUAUUAAAUAUAUAGAGCUUAUUGACAUAAAGAUGUGUGUUACAACUUAUAUUGCAAGGAAGCUGAACUGCAGACUUUCAGUUAUUGACAACUACAGGUUUUUAAAAGAAUAUGCAUUAAAUGUUGAUGAAAUUUUCCUUGCUAGGACUCUCGGUUCAUCUAUUAAAUGGGUAUGACAAUUGAAAUUGUUUAAUUUCACAAGUUUCCUGUGGUGGCACCAAGGAAUAUUACAAUAGUCACGUGAUGAUUUUGCAGCUUCAGACAUAUUUUCAUUUUCUUGAUGAUAGUGUUAGCCUCUAAAUUUAACACUCAUUUAAUAUGGUUGAUAUUUGUUUGACCUUUUAUUUUGCAGGAAUCGAAGAGUUUUCUCAUUUUAAUUGAAGAAUCUCGACAAAACAUUAAGCCUAGGGCGCAUAGUCAGAAUUUCGACGAAGCAAGGCUGAAAGAGCAAUCUCGCGUCGAAGUUAAACAAAAGGCGGGAAAGCACGAUUUCAAGCAUUGAAACGGUUUCUAUGUAGUGGAGUGGAUAGGCAGUUGUCCAGGAUGGAGGAAGUGCUGAUAAUGAAGUUAGAGGUUCGCCAUCUAGAUUUUGGUAUAAAUAAGAGUUUCCAAGCCGGAUAGUGGAUCGCAAAUCAUAUACAGAAUUCUACAACACUCAAACUACUAGCGUCUAGGGAAACGAGUUAUACAGAAUGUAUGUAAAUUGAAUUGUAGACCACCCCUUUUAUUUUAAUGCAAUGCAUUUUACCUUUUCUUUGAGUUUAC
This 1856-nucleotide long non-coding RNA is filed under the name Medicago truncatula (barrel medic). RNAcentral describes it as "long non-coding RNA (MTRU_LNC004308)". Lineage: Eukaryota; Viridiplantae; Streptophyta; Magnoliopsida; Fabales; Fabaceae. The record is from RNAcentral.